AUGUCGCUUCAAAUUGCAUUGCAUAUGUUAUAUCGCUCAUUGAAGAUUUUAUAUAUUAAACAAGACAAAUCAGCUAAAAAAGGCCGGAAAACAAUCAAAUAUGAGAAUUCGCAACGUGCAUUUGGCCACAACUCUGGCAAAAAUGGAAUUUUGAUCCGGAGAUAUAACUUAAACUUCAAUAUACUGUGAUAAUGCAACUUACCAAGUAUGGAUUAGGAGAGGAAAGCGGUUGCAAAAAUAUGACGGAAAACGGUUCAAUAUGAUAAUUUUCUAUUUACAAAAAGCCAUAACUCCAACAAAAAUUGAAAUAAUAACACGGGGGGUUAGCUGUCUUAUGCAUUCUAUUUUAAUCCAGUUUAUAUGACAAAAAUAUUGCGACAAUACAAUUAUACUGAGAUAAGAAGAUGCGGUCGGAAACUCGAGAUGAAUUUUCUUCCGAACGAUUGAAAAUCCCGCGGGAUUUCCACUUGUAUUGACGUGAUUCGAUGAAGUUUAGAAGCGCGCUGGUUUUCAUCCUCCGGUAAGUAGCAAUGUUUCCUGAUUUUAUACCAUUUUUUAUCGAUACUUGAAUUUUACUUUAAAUUUGAAGAAGAGCAAAACUGUUUCGAUGCGUGUUGACAGAACAUAGACUUUAAAAUGUUCAAACAAAACCAUUCUUUCAAAUUUUCAAAAUAAAAAUUUAAGUGUCUACCGGGAGAUAUUGCUACCAUAUUUUAAAGUUCAGUUUUUAUUUCAAAAUUUCGCGACCAUUUCGAGCGUGUUUCCCGGUAAACUUAUUACUUUUCAAAACAACAUAUCAUCGUGUAUCCGCUGGUAUCAUAUACUAUAAGCAUGAUCUAAUACAAGACAAAGUAAUAUGUUAAAUUCCAUCUAUGACUUUUUGAGAUGUUUUCUUUCGAUUUCUAAAACUUUAUUCGUAAAGAAAGAAUUCAGAAUGCAAGCGUCAUUAGCUCACAUUGUCAUAAUUUAUUAAAACAGAUAUUGACCUCUAUAUACUUCAAGAGAAAAGUCAAAUGUCAAGGUCAUGAAGAUGUAAACGAAAUGACUAUCCCUAUUCGUAUUUUCAUAUGUAAAAAUCAUUUGCGAAAGUAAUUAGUCAUUUAAGACAGUAUGCUACGAUUUGAAAUAAUCUUUAAUUGAUACUCUUUAAGUUUUACUUGACCACAACAUAAAAUCAUGGUAUCUAUUAAAUUUAAUCAUUAAAUUAAACAAGAAAGUUAGAAACGUUCCAACAUACUCAAGAAAGAUAUCGAUAUAUAUUUGCGUGUACAAAUAACAAAAGCGCAAAUUGACUAUGAAUCCUCUAACUAUUUUGCGUGUCUUUACAAGGAGAGAAAAUUGUGAAUAAACAAAAAUAUGUAGUAUUUUUUGUUGUUACAGCUAUCAGUACAAGAACAAUCGAAACUACGGGUUAUAAAAACAAUAAAUAUUGGUUAUGUUGAGCAUAUCUAGCUAUAUUCGGCGUAAUAUUUCAAUUAAAACUGAAUCAAAACGUCAUGUUUUAUGCAAUGAGUUGGUGUUAGGAAUUAAAUUAUAUCGAAAACUUUCUCUUUAUAUAUCCGAUCGUUUAUAGUUACUAAUGGUCAUUAUUCAUGCAAUGUUGUAUCCUCGCUUUCAAAUUCAAUAUUUCCCGUUACAGCUGCUGUUGGUAAGACGCCACAAUCUGCAGCUGGAAUGUUUGAUCUGAUGAAUAUGAUGAAGAAUCGUGGAGGCAAAGUAAUGCCGACGGCGAUGCCUGGUCCAAACAUGCUGUUUUCACCCCGUCCAAAGAUGGGUACUCUUCCAUUCAUCAUGAAGAUGAGAAUGCUGGACGCCAUGGGCAUUGAAAAUCCUAUCUUAAUGAUGAAUUUAAUGGGGGGAAAUAUGGGAGGAUUUGGAGCAAUGAGUAGCAUGGGAUCCCUGCCAAGAGGAUUAGGAGGAAUGAUGGGCGGUAUGCCCGGAAGAAUGCCAAUGUCUAUGAUUGGAGGAGCAAGCAGAGGAGCAGGGGGCAACUUCAUGAACAAAAUGCUCCAGAUGAGGAUGCUGGCAAAUAUGGACCUAGUGUGAUCGUUUUAAUCUAUUUCAUUAUAACUUUCUUCAAAUUCUAAAAUAUUAGAAACAGGCGAUAUAUAUGUAUAUAUAUAUAUAUUUGUAAGCAGAAUGCAACAAAGGACUUAUUGCGAGAUAUUUUCAUUCUCAUAUAUUUAGGUUUUGUCUGUAUAGAAAACAGAAACUUAUAGGUAUGUAAAUACGCGAGAUAUCGAAUCGGUGACUUUCGCUACUUAUAAAUCAAUUAUCAGACAUCGCUUUGAUGGGUUUCUUACAAAAAGCUAUUUUGAGAAUGACAAUGAAUAAAAAAUAGUCAUUAUGUUGUUGUUUUCCUAUUGUGUUUAGCUCACUAGUCCUCAACGAUGUCGUGAAUAUAUAUUUGAUAUACUACGGUGUACGCUGGCGGUUUUUACGCAUGCUAAUACUUUUUAACUAUUCCUCGAUUUCGUCAUAAGAUUACACAAGGACGGUCGUGAAAACUGUGGCAUCCGUGUUACACCUUUCAUUUCAAGUUGCGAUGAUAAACAAUCGUCACUGAAAAAUAAAAAGGAGAUCGCCCACUUCCUGCUUCAUCACGGUGAAUCAUAUAAUGCAAUACGUACAUAACUGCAUAGUUUUUCUUCCUAUUUGUGGAAUAUUCAUCCUGACGAAUCGUUUAUCCUCAUAAGUGAACGAAUCCCUCAGAAAGCUUAUAUUUAGUAUAUUAAUGUUCGCAGCUUGAUACUGACAUUAGAUAGAUAUAUAGGCAUUGGCUAUAACUAGGCCUUUAAUUGGGCUUAUAUCGUGUGUGUCUUUUGCGCAAACCCCGUAAGGCGCUUCUUAUUAUAAAACCGCAGAAUGCCGCAUACCCAACAGGUUCGUUUGUAUUAUUUUCUUUACCCUAUUUACCUUAGUCCCCUUGAAAUAAUAUCGUUGAAAUAAAUAUGUCAUUUUUAUAUAAAAAAAAAAGCUUUGAUAUAAAUUCGAAAAUUCCACUCAUUAUAAGCAAUAUUAAUAAUAUGUUUUAUCAUUUGACCAGACGAAGACCACCGGACUAUAUUUAUAAGAAGUCGUUUUUGUCAACAAAAGCACUUCCGUUAACACUACGAUAUUUUUCUCUACAUUUUCGAAAUAAAUAUCCCCACCUAACCUGAUGGGAUAUGCGGCAAAAUAAAAGUUAGAUUAGGAUGUAUGACAAAUAUUUAGUGUCUUUCAUCAAUGGCAUGUUGAUAAUGUUUGCAGUUUUAUUAAUCCAUUUCUAGCUAACUAUUGUGGAAAUAGGUUUGAUUUAACCAUUUUCAGUUAUUCAUUUGAGCGAUAAAUGUGUAAUCCCUAACAUGAAUCAAUCUUUAUUAUUACACUGUAUAACUGAUAAAAAAACUUGCUUGUCCAAGAAUAUCCCAUAUAAAUUGAGCUGUGACAUCAUUUUCUGAUAAAUACAUAUGUUUCAUAUCUCAUAUCAAAUAACAUUAUACUCAUAAGCAUGUACAUAUAUAGCUCUAUCGAAUAACAUGCAUUCUUCAUCUCAUGGUACACUAUUUUCUAAUUUUUAAAUAAAUGCAUUAUUAACAAAUAUCUUGCCAUACACACUUAUUCAGAUUGCUUCCUGCAUCCCACCAUGCUCCGUCUUUCUUCAGGUUAUAUCCAGCCCGGACAACGGCCUUACAACAACUACAAUGGCUUUGGGACUUCAUUGAAUAACCCAAUGUUAAUGUCGGGAAAUUUUAAUCUGCGAGAUUACAUGCUAAUGAACCUGAUUGCGGGAAAAUAAAAUGAGGCAUGAGGACGUUCGCAAGUGAACCGCGUCUAAGAAGAAGUGAUCCGCCAACUUCCAGUAUUUAGGCAUAUCUGACUAAUCAUAGAUUAUAUAGCGUUUGUCGCCAAAGCUUGAAAAAAAUGUGAAUUGUUAAUCUUGUUUGGUACAAGAUUUGAUGUCAUGCCGAUGAAAUAUAGGGAAUGUAUGUCUAUAUCGUUACAAAUAGAUAUCUCCUGAAAUGUUUUUGGAAGUUAGAUCUUAGGUGAUUUCAUUAAAUUCAUUUGUUUGAAAUGUUUUUCAUCGCAUGACCUAACUAUGUAUAAAAACAACACUCUGAAUGAGUUGAUUUAAUACAAUAUAACCAUGAAAGAAAGGAACAUAAGUAAAGCAUACUAUCUUUAAAUUCUGAAAUGUUUUCAUGAAUUUUUUUGGUUAAGCACUGAUUUCAGUUAGAUAUAAACCAUUCAAUCUGUAAUGCGUUCACGUUGAAAAUAAUAAAUAUUUCUCUAACGUUAAUCAUACAAUGCAGUAAGAGCCACGCUAUUAUUUUUGGAAACAUAAUCAUAAAAUAGAAUUACUUAACAUGUUCGGUGCAGUGACAAAUAUUGAUAUAUUUCUAUGAUUAGUUGGUGUAAGUGUAGUUAGGCUUAUCCCAAAUGGUAAUGUCACUUUUCUAAUAAAUGUGUGCUUAUUUAGCAUAUAUCUUA
This is a long non-coding RNA of Pecten maximus, 4470 nucleotides long. RefSeq lists it as uncharacterized. The record is from RefSeq and is a predicted model, not a curated record. Lineage: Eukaryota; Metazoa; Mollusca; Bivalvia; Pectinida; Pectinidae. The transcript has 2 exons.